UAUUAGAGAGACUCAUUUCUGCCCAGCAGGCUAGAGAAUGGAAGAAUGAGUUGUCUGACCACCACUGCCACAAUACGAGCCACCCCUACAACGGGAGGAUUUAGUGUCAUCUCGAUAUAAUCUUGUCCCUCCACUGUAUCAUCUAGCACCGCCAUAGUACAAUAUGGUGCCCCACCAUACAACCAGGUGCCACCACAGGGUCACCCAAUCCUUUUCCCUGUAACAUCUGGUCCCUCUUUCACGG
Molecule: long non-coding RNA, 244 nt
Filed under: Carica papaya (papaya)
Lineage: Eukaryota; Viridiplantae; Streptophyta; Magnoliopsida; Brassicales; Caricaceae
Description: long non-coding RNA (CPAP_LNC004605)
Source: RNAcentral